GACGAACGCUGGCGGCGUGCUUAACACAUGCAAGUCGAACGGAAAGGCCCUGCUUUUGUGGGGUGCUCGAGUGGCGAACGGGUGAGUAACACGUGAGUAACCUGCCCUUGACUUUGGGAUAACUUCAGGAAACUGGGGCUAAUACCGGAUAGGAGCUCCUGCUGCAUGGUGGGGGUUGGAAAGUUUCGGCGGUUGGGGAUGGACUCGCGGCUUAUCAGCUUGUUGGUGGGGUAGUGGCUUACCAAGGCUUUGACGGGUAGCCGGCCUGAGAGGGUGACCGGCCACAUUGCGACUGAGAUACGGCCCAGACUCCUACGGGAGGCAGCAGUGGGGAAUAUUGCACAAUGGGCGGAAGCCUGAUGCAGCGACGCCGCGUGCGGGAUGACGGCCUUCGGGUUGUAAACCGCUUUCGCCUGUGACGAAGCGUGAGUGACGGUAAUGGGUAAAGAAGCACCGGCUAACUACGUG
Molecule: ribosomal RNA, 468 nt
Filed under: uncultured bacterium
Lineage: Bacteria
Description: partial 16S ribosomal RNA
Rfam family: Bacterial small subunit ribosomal RNA
Source: RNAcentral